This 555-nucleotide ribosomal RNA is filed under the name uncultured Glomeromycotina. RNAcentral's name for it is "SSU rRNA". It matches the Rfam family "Eukaryotic small subunit ribosomal RNA", at positions 548 to 1098 of the family's 1831-position model. Lineage: Eukaryota; Fungi; Glomeromycota. The record is from RNAcentral.
UUGGAGGGCAAGUCUGGUGCCAGCAGCCGCGGUAAUUCCAGCUCCAAUAGCGUAUAUUAAAGUUGUUGCAGUUAAAAAGCUCGUAGUUGAAUUUCGGGAUUGACGUGACGGUCGUGCCUUAAGGGGUAUGAACUGUCGCAGUUGAUUUCUCACCUUCAGGAGAAGCAUGAUGUCCUUAAUUGGGUGUCAUGUGGAACCAGGACCUUCACCUUGAAAAAAUUAGAGUGUUUAAAGCAGGCAUUUUGCUCGAAUACAUUAGCAUGGAAUAAUAGAAUAGGACGGCAUGGUUCUAUUUUGUUGGUUUCUAGGAUCACCGUAAUGAUUAAUAGGGAUAGUUGGGGGCAUUAGUAUUCAAUUGUCAGAGGUGAAAUUCUUGGAUUUAUUGAAGACUAACUACUGCGAAAGCAUUUGCCAAGGAUGUUUUCAUUAAUCAAGAACGAAAGUUAGGGGAUCGAAGACGAUCAGAUACCGUCGUAGUCUUAACCAUAAACUACGCCGACUAGGGAUCGGACGAAGUUAAUUUUAUAAUGACGCGUUCGGCGCCUUACAGGAAAC